This 6920-nucleotide long non-coding RNA is filed under the name Homo sapiens (human). Its description in RNAcentral is "HSALNT0122246". Lineage: Eukaryota; Metazoa; Chordata; Mammalia; Primates; Hominidae. The record is from RNAcentral.
GCCCAGGCACUGGAUGCACCUGCAGCCUGAGAGCAGCAGGGGGCGGGGUGCCGGGAGGAGAGGGAUUUCAGAUCCCCUGUGCCCUGUGGACGUCAGAAAGCAGGACUUUCUCUUCUGAAACCUGGGCUAGUUCUCAGGUGCAACAGGCCCUGGGUGUGAUGCUCUGACCAGGCGCCCCGGGUGUAAGUACUCAGGCUUCUCGUGCUUCCUCUUCAUACUACACCUUUUGGAACCCAAGAACCUCGCGGCUGCUCCUUCUGGCAAUGGAAAUGUCAGAAAGCAAAGGAAAUUUAAGCUCCACUCAGAGAAAAGAGAAGAUACCAAAAAGUCUAGGGCAACAGACUGUGGUUCUUCAUGGUCUAUGACUCCAAGGUCUGAAAUGAUCUCAUUUACCCCACAUGAUAGAUGUGGCCCUUCCAGAUGAGGAGUUCAACAAGACUACAUGGUAGAGCAGCCAGAGAACCCACUGGAAAUAAGGCUCAAAAUAAGGAGUAACCACAAAAUAAGAGACAGAGAAUGCUGAUUCACUAUGCAGUGAAACAUGCCUAACGUGUCAACAGCUAAAUGCCCGGUGACAGUGUGGUUGUCUGGGCAACAGAAGAAGUCACCCACGCAAACACUUAAAGGACCAUACUUAUUUUACAAGAGGAACAGUUUUCAAUGGAAUGGAUAUUAAAACACACACCUGGAUCCCUUUACCACAGGUGCUUUGAGAGGCACCAUCAAGGACAGUGAGCUAACGCAGGAGAAUGGAGUCCCAGAAACCUAGGAGGAGAAGACAAAGUGUCAGCCUCUCGGCAUCUGCAGUGUUGCUAGGAAAAGAGCUCUGAUCCCAGGGGCUUACCCACUUCCACAGGUAGGAAGCGUCCCUGAGAGGACUGGAACAUUAGCAUAUCUCAGAUCCAUCUGCAAAACUUUUGCAAACACGGAACUCCCUCGUUCUAAUCUUAUCAGCAACUUCCAGAGCUGAACCUUGAUUAAUCUGGAUACAAAAAGGAUUGAAACGCCACAUAAUAAGCAUUAACAGGAGGGUGUUUCCUUUAUCAAUGAAGCUUGAUUUAUCCAUGAUGAUCUAGUGCAUUCUCCUCCCAAAAAUCAGGAUCAUCCUCUGCAUAUGAAGGAACAGACAAGCCCUCAGCUCUACCACUUUGGAGAGGGGGGGAUUGGACAGCAUGAGCCUUCAAUUGUAUCUCUUGGAUGACCAAGGAAGGCUGGAUUUCUGCACCUAAAAAAUGGAAGCACAAACUGUACAACAAAUACUCUCCAUUCAAGUUGAAGUUCUCAAAUAAGUUUUGAAAGGUUCACUCCAGCUACUCUGUUGACAAUGGAUUAUAGAAGACUGAACAUGGAAUCCAGGAGACCAGUCAGAAAACUUCUUCAGGAAUCCAGCACAGUCUUGGCCUGUUCUGGAGAAUGCUCCCCAUCAAAAAUAAUUGACUGGAGACAAGCCAAGUCAGGAUUCUCCCUGGGAUCAAUUUCUGAUGGCGCUUUCUUCAUAAACAGGGGGACCUUUUCAAAUUCCUCUUCCCACUGGUCCUCAUGAAAGCCGCCACGGUAAGGCUGGCUCUGGAACUUUUCCAGGAACAAGUCCGUGGCAUCGUCUGAGGUGGGGUCCUGCUCAGGUUACUCCAUAACUGAUGCCCUGCCCUCCAGCCCAGGUCCCGGCACCGUGAAGUGUAGAAAAUACUCUACAAUGAAUAAAAAUAAAAUACAAUAUUCAAGAUUUAUGAAUGCAAUAAAAGCAGUGGUCAGAAGGAACAUUUAAGCUCUAAACACAUUAAAAAAGAAGAAUGAUAUUAAUAGAAAAUCUAAUUGUGUAUCUUACAUAACUAGAAAAUGAAAAGCAGUCUAAAGCCAAAGCAUGAAGGAGGUAGGAAAUAAUGAUUAGAGGAAACAUAAAUGACAUAGAGAAUAGAAAAACAAGAGAGAGUAUCAAUGAACCUAAAAUUUGGUUCUUUAAAAAGAUUACCAGAUUUGACAAACCUUUAGCUAUACUAAUAAUAGAAGACUAAAAUAAAUAAAAUUAAAAAUGAAAUCAUAGACAUUAUAACUGAUACCAUAGAAAUACAAAGGAUCAAAAGAAACUACUAAUGAACAAUUAUAUGCCAACAAAUUGGAUUACCUACAGGAAAUUGAUGAAUUCCUACAACAUACAACCUACCAACGCUGAAUCAUGAAGAAAUAGAAAAUCUAAACAGACCAAUAGUGAGUAAAGAGAUUGAGUCUGUAAUCAAAAAUCUUACAAAAAAGAAAAGCUCAGUAUCAGACAGCUUCACUGAUGAGUUCUAUCAGUCCUUUAAUGAAAAUUUAUACCAAUCAUUGCCAAACUCUUUCAUAAAAUUGAAGAGAUGAGAAUAGUUCAUAAUUCAUUGUAUGAGGCUGGCAUUACGUAGAUACAAAGCCAGACAAAGACAUUACAAGAUUGUCUCUUUUAAGUAUAGAUGCAAAGCCUCUUGAUAAAAUCCUAUCAAACUGAAUACAGCAGCAUAUUAAAGGGAUCAUACUCCAUGACAAAUGGGAUUUAUCUCAGUAAUGCAAGAAUGGUUCAACGUAUGAAAAUCACUCAAUGUAAGAAACCACAUGAAUAGAAUGAAGGGAGAAAAAAGACCCCAAAAUAUACGAACAUUUCAGUUGAUGCAGAGGAAUCAUUUGAUAAAGUUCAACAUUCUUUUAAAACACUCAGUAAAUGAAGAAUAAAAGAUAUCUUCCAUAACACGAUAAAGGUGAUAUAUGAAAAACCCACAGCUAACAUCACACCCAAUAUUGAAAGACUCAAAGCUUUCCCUUAACAAUGGGAACGAGAGCAGGAUUCCUACUGUCGCUAUUUUUACUCAAUAUAGUAGUAGAAAUUCUAGCCAGAGCAAUUAGAGAAGUCAAAUAAAUGAAAAUCUUACAAAUUGAAAAGAGAGAAGUUCUCCAUUCACAGAUGACCUGGUCUUAUGUGUAGAAAGCUCUAAGGAUUUAAUAACAAAACUAUUAGAGCUAAUAAAUGAAUUAAGCAAAGUUGUAGGACAAAAAAACAAUAAACAAAAUCAGUUGUGUUUCUAUACACUAGAAAUAAGCAAUAGGACAAGUUUUUUAAAACUUUCUUUUUAUAGUAGCAUCUGAAAGAACAGAUAUGUAGGAAUUUAAUCGGAAAUUAAAGACGUACUGAAAACUACAAAACAUUGCUGAAAUAAAGAAGUCAUAAAUCAAUGGAAUGUGUUCAUGGUGUAAGAUUUAAUAUUGUUAAGGUGAUAAUGCUACUCGAUUUGCUUUGCUAAUCAAAGCAAUCUACAGAUUGAAUCCAACAAUUUUUUUUUUCUUGUGGAAAUAGAAAACCCAUUCUAAAGUUCAUAUGAAAUCUUAAGGGACCUUGCAUAGCCAAAACAAUCUUGAAAAGAAUAAAUGUGGACAACUCACAUUUCCUGAUUUCAAAACUUAUCACAAAGAUACAGUAAUCAAAACAGUGAGGUACUUGUAUAAAGACAGACAUACAGACCAAUAGAUUUGAAUAGAUAUUCCAGAAGUAAACUCUCACAUACACAGACAAUUGAUUUUUGACAAGGGCACAAAAGCCAUUCAAUGGGGAAAAGGACAAUCUUUUCAACAAAUGGUGCUGGGAAAACUGUGUAUCCACAUGUAAAAAAAUGAAGUCAAACCUUUUCCUCAAAUUAUAUACAGAAAUUCACCAAAAAUGAAUAAAAUACUUAAAUAUAAGAACUAAAACUAUAAAACUCUUAGAGGAAAACAUACAACUAAAUCUUCAUGAUAUUAAUUUCUUAGAUAUGACACCAAAAGGAUGAGGAAUAACAAAAAUAGAUAAACUGAAGGGUAGAAAGCAAAGUGAUAAUGGAAGAUGAGAGUCGAGUGAUGUGACCAGGAGCCAAGGAAUGCCAUGGCCUCUAGAUGUGGGGAGUUAAGGGACCAAUUUUCCCUGGAAACUCCUGAAGGAACUUGCCAUGCCAACACCUUGAUUAUAGCCCUUUAAGAUACAUUUUGGACUGUUGAUCUCCAGGAUUGUAAGAUAAUACAUUCGUGUUGAUUUAAGCCACUGAAUAUGUGGUGAUUUGUUACAGCAGCAAUAGUAAACUGAUACACAAUCUCAAUGAAAGUAGGGAUUUCUGUCUUCCCACACCCUGCUCACUUCACUAGAGAAUUUAUAGCACUUAGUGUAUUCUUCGAUAAAUAUUUGUUGAGUAAGAUGAAUGAAGCCAGACUUUAGAGUCAGAUUACACUUGGCUGGUUAACUGUUGUGAGGAAAGCAGUUGAAAGUUCUCUUGGCCUUGCUUCUACUUGCACUGGGAAGCACUGUCAUCAAUGAAGGGGUUGCUGUGGGUUUCAAGAGAAAAGAAAAGGUGUGAGAAUCUCCCAGGUACAGUGGGAGCUCAUCUGGACUAGGGAAAUAAAAUAGGAUUGCUUGGUUAUUGCUCACUUGGUCACUAAUAUAACAUGAAUUGAGACAGUAUGGUUGUAUAUUUUUCUCCAAUUAAGGUUAUGGGGUGGCAUGGCCUAGGGGAAGUUACUUAUUUUGCAAGGGUGAUUUGAUAGAGGCAGCAAGCCAGGUAGCUGGGAUGUUUGCAAGGGCAUGAUCAUAAUGGUGUACCAUGCAAUUUAAGCAGGGGCAGGUGGAAAUAAGGACUUGAUGUGAUAUGUUCAGAUCCAUGAAUAAGACAUCAUAACAGGAGUCACAGUAUUGUCAGACUAGAAGUACUGGAGGAAGGGAGCUGGACAUUUGAAAGAGAUGGGAGGGUGGAAUGUUUGAGAUUGAGUGAAUGGAGGUGCUGUGUUCAUUUGGUCAUGCUAAGGUCUUGGGGUGGCCAUGGGAGGGGUGGGUGGCUGAGGUGGGGCAGAGGACAGACUCAUCUGGAGAUGAUGCAAUAAAUGAAGGGGAAAGCUAGGCCCUGCAAGGAGCUCUCUUGUGUGUAUUAAAAUCAUCAAAAACUGUGGCAGGAGUGAUUGCAGAGAUCCUAGUGACCCAUGAUCAAGGAAUGAAGAGGAAGACCAGCGGUCUAGAGAUUACUGCACAUGUGGGGUGGGAAGAGGGCGGUAACAGAUGACAAUCAUUAAUUUGAUAAAAAAGUAUUGAAUGUCUGCUCUGUGCCAGGCACAUGGUGGUAGGGUCUGAUGGGAGGUUAAAGGGAAGAGAGGUGGAUAAUGUUCUGGAGAUUUCAAUGAGCAAGAAGGGUAUUUAGCCCACAUUGAGGCCCAACAGAUUGAAGCCUUAAAAGAAAACAGCAACACCUGAGAAGGAUGCCAGGAAAUGAGUCCUAGGGGUACAUGUGGAGUCAGCUGGAGCACAUCCAGGAAGAAGGACAGAAGAAAGACUGUGAAGGACUUGAGUCAGGGAGGGGUGUGAGCUGACUCAGAAAGGGUGAUGCAUGGGUAGGCCAUGGGGUGAGGGAUGAACGGGAGUCUUGGAUUUCCUGUGGUCACUCAGGGAAACCCAGCAGCUAAAAGUAAGUGAUUUAAGCAAAUGAAUGGACAGAUGAAUUAAUGAAUAGACUAAAGAUGGACAAAUGCUUCCACCAGCCUUGCUUCAGGCCCUAUUUAGAACUGAAGUUGACUUCCUCUUUCUUUUAAUAGCUGCAAAAAUGAUGAAUUUGAUUUUCGUCUCUAGAAGCAAUUUCCUUUUUAAAUCAGGUGAGGAUCUUGGCAGAUGCGAAGAAUCUUUCAGAACCUGCAUGUAUAUGAGAAAGGGAUAUGACAGCAUGAAGUUCUCCUGUUUGAAGAAGCUAAAUGGAGCCACUUUUUGACUCAGUUGACUGGGACCUGGAGCUGGUGCACUAUUUGAAUUGCAUGGUGUGCCUGCCGCUGCCUUUUGACUUCUCCAGCCUGUACACCUGCCUUUUUGGGGAGAACUGUGGUAACAUAUGGGGAGGCGUCCUGUAUUUUCUGCAAUAUCUGACAAAGAAAAACUAGUUGGUUCAUAUGUAUAUAUGAUCUUUCAACAAGAACGUCAAAUAAAUAUCUUCACUCCUUGGGGAGAAGCAGGUCAGAGCCCCACUGUCUCAGCUAGCUCUCACUUGGCUGUCUUGUUUUGGGGCUGGAAGGCCACACUGUGUUUCCUGGGGUAGAGGCGGAGUCUGGGCAUUCUCCCUUUGUAGCUGAGAGCUAAGAGCAGUUGUGUCUGCUUUGAUAAAAUAAAGUUAUUUUUUAGUUUAGUCUGAUCUCCAAAUCCUUCCCUUUCAGAUACCUCUGCCAUCCAAGAUCAGGGGAUACUAAAUUUUCAAAGCAUUUUCUCAGGAGUUGCAUGAGAAAACAUACACCUGCUCUUGUUUUCAAGGGGUGUGGGCAAGAAGUAAAAAGGACAAACUGUUAAUGAGAACACUUUCUGUAUUCCUCCCUCCCCACUGAUACAUACCAGUACCAUAAAAUUUAAAAUGAGUCAAAUGACUGCAGUAAGACUUUACUUUGGUAUACGAGGCAAAAUGUUGGACAUGGGUGCUAAUUAAUCAUCAGAGAGUUACAGGGGAACCUGGACGAAUUAAGACUGGGGCAAGAGACAGCUCAUCAAGGAUCUUGCCCUGUAGCUCAAGAAGAAAAUGUUUAACUUAGUUGCCUGGACACUCUGAGGAUAGAAUGAAAUGCUGUAUGCGACCUGUUGGCCUUGGAAGCCGGCAUGGAUUCAGCACCCAGGGUUGGGGUGAACCUUCUCUCCCUCACUGUGUCAGGCAUCUUAGUCUGCCCCAGGAUGUGCAGGCUGCCUGUCCCUGGCCUCACAUCCUGCUGUAAGUGGGAUUGUGACCCCCUGAAAUGCAUAUGUUGAAGCCCUAACUGCCUCUGUGAUGGUAUUUGGAGGUGAAGCCUUUGGGAGAUAAUUAGGGUUAGAUGAAGUCCUAAGGACCUCCAUGAUGGGAUUAGUGUCCUUACAAGAAGAGGAAGAGACACCAGAGCUUCCCCUCUCUCACCUGUGAGGACAGAGGUAGCAGGUGGCUGUG